This 253-nucleotide ribosomal RNA is filed under the name uncultured bacterium. Its description in RNAcentral is "partial 16S ribosomal RNA". It matches the Rfam family "Bacterial small subunit ribosomal RNA", at positions 524 to 776 of the family's 1533-position model. The record is from RNAcentral.
UACAGAGGUCCCGAGCGUUGUUCGGAUUUAUUGGGCGUAAAGGGUGCGUAGGCGGCGGAGUAAGUUGGGUGUGAAAUCCCGGGGCUCAACCUCGGAAUUGCAUUCAAUACUGCUUCGCUCGAGUACUGGAGAGGAGACUGGAAUUUACGGUGUAGCAGUGAAAUGCGUAGAUAUCGUAAGGAAGGCCGGUGGCGAAAGCGAGUCUCUGGACAGUUACUGACGCUGAUGCACGAAGGCCAGGGGAGCAAACGGG